ACGUAGGGUCCGAGCGUUGUCCGGAAUUAUUGGGCGUAAAGAGCUCGUAGGCGGUUUGUCGCGUCUGCUGUGAAAUUCCCAGGCUCAACCUGGGGCGUGCAGUGGGUACGGGCAGACUAGAGUGCGGUAGGGGAGACUGGAAUUCCUGGUGUAGCGGUGGAAUGCGCAGAUAUCAGGAGGAACACCGGUGGCGAAGGCGGGUCUCUGGGCCGUUACUGACGCUGAGGAGCGAAAGCAUGGGGAGCGAACAGGA
This 253-nucleotide ribosomal RNA is filed under the name uncultured prokaryote. RNAcentral's name for it is "partial 16S ribosomal RNA". It matches the Rfam family "Bacterial small subunit ribosomal RNA", at positions 525 to 777 of the family's 1533-position model. The record is from RNAcentral.